UACGUAGGUGGCAAGCGUUACUCGGAAUUACUAGGCGUAAAGCGCAGGUAGGUGGUUAGGUAAGUCCGUCAUGAAAUCUCCCGGCUUAACUGGGAGGGGUUGAGGGAUACUGCCCGACUCGAGUGUGGGAGAGGUAACUGGAAUUCCAGGUGUAGCGGUGAAAUGCGUAGAUAUCUGGAGGAACACCAAUGGCGAAAGCAGGUUACUGGCCCAAUACUGACACUGAGCUGCGAAAGCUAGGGGAGCAAAC
This 250-nucleotide ribosomal RNA is filed under the name uncultured bacterium. Its description in RNAcentral is "partial 16S ribosomal RNA". It matches the Rfam family "Bacterial small subunit ribosomal RNA", at positions 524 to 773 of the family's 1533-position model. The record is from RNAcentral.